Molecule: ribosomal RNA, 121 nt
Filed under: Erinaceus europaeus (western European hedgehog)
Lineage: Eukaryota; Metazoa; Chordata; Mammalia; Eulipotyphla; Erinaceidae
Source: RNAcentral
GUUUGCAGCCACAUCACCCUGAACACACCCCUAUCUCAUCCCGAUUUCGAAGCUAAGUAGGGUCGGGCCUGGUUAGUACUUGGAUGGGAGAGAUAGAGCAAGAGAAAGAGAGAAGCAGAGG